RNAcentral lists this ribosomal RNA (355 nucleotides) under uncultured Neisseria sp. Its description in RNAcentral is "bacterial SSU rRNA". It matches the Rfam family "Bacterial small subunit ribosomal RNA", at positions 8 to 359 of the family's 1533-position model. Lineage: Bacteria; Pseudomonadati; Pseudomonadota; Betaproteobacteria; Neisseriales; Neisseriaceae. The record is from RNAcentral.
AGAGUUUGAUCCUGGCUCAGAUUGAACGCUGGCGGCAUGCUUUACACAUGCAAGUCGGACGGCAGCACAGAGAAGCUUGCUUCUUGGGUGGCGAGUGGCGAACGGGUGAGUAACAUAUCGGAACGUACCGAGCAGUGGGGGAUAACUAAUCGAAAGAUUAGCUAAUACCGCAUAUAUUCUGAGGAAGAAAGCAGGCGACCAUUUGGCCUUGCGCUGUUUGAGCGGCCGAUAUCUGAUUAGCUGGUUGGUGGGGUAAAGGCCUACCAAGGCGACGAUCAGUAGCGGGUCUGAGAGGAUGAUCCGCCACACUGGGACUGAGACACGGCCCAGACUCCUACGGGAGGCAGCAGAAGGG